Molecule: RNA transcript, 1692 nt
Organism: Andrographis paniculata
Lineage: Eukaryota; Viridiplantae; Streptophyta; Magnoliopsida; Lamiales; Acanthaceae
Gene name: serine/arginine-rich splicing factor SC35-like
Exons: 11
Source: RefSeq, a predicted model, not a curated record
AAUUGUCUAAUCGGAAAAGUCUGAAACCCUAGAGAGAGAAAGAGAAUUCUGAGAGCGAGGUGCUCUCACACGCAUCGGGAAGAACUCAACGAUGUCGCACUUUGGAAGAUCGGGGCCGCCGGACAUCAGAGACACUUACUCUCUCCUCGUCCUCAACAUUACUUUCCGUACAACUGCGGACGAUUUGUUCCCCCUCUUUGAUAAGUAUGGGAAAGUGGUUGAUGUGUUUAUUCCGAAGGACCGAAGGACCGGAGAUUCGAGGGGGUUUGCAUUUGUUCGAUACAAGUAUCAAGAUGAGGCUCAAAAGGCUGUAGAAAAGCUAGAUGGAAGAGUUGUUGACGGCCGGGAAAUAAUGGUCCAAUUCGCUAAAUAUGGCCCCAAUGCUGAACGAAUUCACAAAGGGAGAAUCGAAGAACCUACUCAUCAACCCCGAGGAAGAUCUAGAAGCCGCAGUCCUCGUCCACGCUCACGGGACAGGGAUUACAGGAGGAGAAGCCGCAGUAGAAGUAGGGGUAGAAGUGAACGCGAACGUCACCGUGGUAGGGACAGGGAUUCUCGUUACCGAAGUCGGAGCAGGUCUCAAAGCCCAAACCGGAGCAGAAGCGAAAGCCCUAGUUAUCGCAGGGAUCGUGGAAGAGGCAAAUAUGAUGAUGAUGAGAGACGCAGACCGACCCGAUCUUACGAAAGCCCUUCACCUGUCCGUCGAAGUCCUAGUCCUCGGAGGAGUCCUUCCCCAGACAAAAGUCCUUAUAGGAGUGAAAGCCCUGGUGCUCGGAAUCACAAGGAAAGAUCUACUACUCCUAGAAGUGUAUCUCCUCGCGGUCGUCGUGAUUCCCGUAGCCGUUCUCCGAUUUCUGAGGCUGACGAAUAAUGAACUUGAAGAUUGCUGAGAAAAUGUUUUCGGUUGCUGAUUUGUCAGUGUUUAUCUUCUCAGUGACUCGAUCCAUUUUAUAUACCUGAGAUAAAUUUACCAAGUUUGUGUCCGUGAAAAGUCGUAGUUGCUGAUUGACAAGAUGCUGCUGUUUUUAGAUGAUACAGUAGCUGUCGAUGCUGCAGUGCUUUUAUUCGCUGUCGAUUUUUAUAUUGUUCGGAUGGUGCUGAACUAAGCUACGUUUACAUUCUGACUCGCAUCUUGAUUUAGGUAAGAGAACGAAGUAACACAUUCCAAUUCUCUCUUAAAAUCACAUUUGAAAGUUUAAUAUCUGUCUUCUUUGGGGAGAGUUAAUCACUAGUAAUCAGUCGACAUUUCUGGAGUUCGUGUAAUCUGUAACGGGUGCUGUUGUUGAGUUGAUGUGCUGUUGGCUGCUGACUUUUAGUUUCAGUUGCACCGGAGUCUGUGGUUGCGGUACUUUGCUGUUAGCCGUGAAACUGAUGCAGCUAUUCUUGAUGAAUCGUAUUUGUAGCUGUGUGGGCGAUUUAACCGUUUAGUCAGAGUUGCCGAUGUAGUUCUUUUGCCCGGCUGCAUUUUUUCGAUUGAUCGAUCGCCUUAUUGCAGAUUGAGAUCAGUCCAGGUUAUUAUUGCACUUUGAUUUCUAGCAUUGCAUUUGUUGGAAUUUUUCUUGAAAGAUAAGGCGAGUUCAUAGUUGUCGAAGGUGUUCAUUGUUAUGUGUUUGGCUUCAAUUUGAAGAUUAUCUCAAUAGUUUUGAGAAGAUAUUGACAUGUUAGAAUAUGCUCAUCUUUUGAAUUUGUGCU